Myxocyprinus asiaticus (Chinese sucker) is the source of this 892-nucleotide long non-coding RNA. RefSeq lists it as uncharacterized. The record is from RefSeq and is a predicted model, not a curated record. Lineage: Eukaryota; Metazoa; Chordata; Actinopteri; Cypriniformes; Catostomidae. The transcript has 3 exons.
GUAUGUUUGUAGCAGUGUAGCUCGGUGCAGCUCAGUAUCUCUUUUUUUGAGUAGUAAUAUUCCUUUUAUUGGAUUUGUAGUGUGAUUUCCACAGAGGCUGCACAAUUCAGUUGCAACAACCUGCUCAUGAUAGGCUGCUUGCUUCCAGCAAGUUUGUAUCUUUUGCACACCUGCUGUUUGCUGCACCAAAUCAGUUAAAUUGUCGGCUCCAAUAUCCAUCCGGCUGUGUACUGAUUGCCUGAGUAACGAAGCAUAAUGCCAGCUCUCCCCCGCCCUUCUUCGAGCAGCGCUGCUGUUUUGUUCUUAUUGUUUUGUCUUUGUUAUUUAUUUUUCUAUUUAAUUCUUUAUUAUAUAGAUAUCUUUUUGGGUUACUUUGUUUGAGUGGCUUUUUGACUUUGUCUUGUUAAUUGUUUUUUUUUAUUUGUUUGUACAAUUUGGUUUCCAGUAUGAGCUUCAUGGUUCCAGUGCUCUUUCCCUCAUUGAAGACUGUUGGUUGUAUUGAUGCCACAGUUGUUGAUGCUAUUGUCCCUGGUCGCUUUUAAAUAUUGGCGACUGUCUAUUUGGUCUUACACACUUAUGCACCUGGCUGUGUGAAUUUGCGGGGGGGGUUCGAGUAAAAGAAAAUGUUUUGUUAUUUGAGUUUUUGUAUGGUUUAUAAUUGAUUUGUCUUUGUCAUUUUGCAGGUGCUUAGUGCCACAAUGAGGUGGGCUAUAUUUUUUUUUUUUUUCUUGUGCUGUUUGCGGUGGUGUCCCCCCUCAAACAGCAUUCAGUGUAUCAUCUACAUUCAAUUUUAUGGUGUUUAGAGUGUGCGUGUAAGCUUGAUUGGUGUGGGUUUUCCCUGUGCCUAGUGUCAUAAUUAUUAGCCCACUCUUCCCUUACUGGGAAGCCUCAG